CUACAUGCAUCCUAAUUAGUGUGUAGGAUAGUAUUUGUUCUUAUCAGUUUAAUAUAUGAUAUGUAAUCUAAUGAGUCGCACGAUAUUAAAUUACUUUUUUGAAAAGGUCACUUCAAUAGUUUGCUAUUGAACUUCUCAUGUGUAAUUCAUGUGUUGCACUAUUGCACGAGAGCCUGACGCACCCCAC
Medicago truncatula (barrel medic) is the source of this 187-nucleotide non-coding RNA. The record is from Rfam. NCBI's taxonomy places the organism in Eukaryota, Viridiplantae, Streptophyta, Magnoliopsida, Fabales, Fabaceae.